This 1024-nucleotide long non-coding RNA is filed under the name Zonotrichia albicollis (white-throated sparrow). RNAcentral describes it as "lncRNA (ENSZALG00000007276.1)". The record is from RNAcentral. Lineage: Eukaryota; Metazoa; Chordata; Aves; Passeriformes; Passerellidae.
AAUGCCACCGGGAAUGAGGACAGGAACCAGAAAUGCCACCGGGAAUGGGGACAAGGGCCGAGAAGGGGGACGGGAAUGAGACCAGAGAUGGGGACAGGGUCUGCAAAUGGAGACAAGGAUCAAGGAAGAGAAUAUGGGAACGGGACAGGGAACAUGGAAACAGCAACCGCAGAGAGAACAUGGGCUGGGGAUUGGUGCUCCAAAGUGUCCCAGUGAAAGCCAGCAGGGGCUGUGAGCUCUGCAGCUGGGCCUCCCCUGCGCUGCUGCGGCCCAGGGCCCAAAGGCGGGAGCUGCAGCCUCACUCCUGUCUCACGAACAGGAGCCUCCUCCAGGCCCAUGGCCCCUGCAUGGCCCCAGCGUGAGGGAGGGCUCUGAGGCACAGCAGCUGCUGGCAGGAGGGGCUGCUCCGGCCAGCUGGGGGCCUCUGAGAAAUGCCCAAAGCCUUGUGCUCUCUGCAGCUGCCCAAGGACAGCAGCGGGGCUGAACGGUUCGUGUGGCACAGCCAGCCCAAGCUGUGCAGCCCUCAGGAAUGGGACCAGGACAGGACCGGGAAUGGGGACAGGGCCAGGAAUGGGGACAGUGACUGGAAAUAGAACCAGGAAUGAGACUGGAAAUAGGAGAUAGGGACAGGGACCAGAACAAGGACCAGGAUAUUGGGACUGCAACCAGAAAUGGGAACAGGGACAGGAAUGGGGACAGGGACUGGGAUGUGAUUGAGAAAAUGGGAGAGGGACCUGGAAUGGGACUGGGGACGAGAAUAUUGGAAUGGGACAGGGAAUAUGGAAACAGGAACCAGACAGAAUAUGGGACGGGGAUUAAGAAGAUGGUAUUGGGAUUGGGAACAGGAAUACAGGAGUGAGAGUGGGAAUGGGAAUAUGGGAGUGAGAGAAGAAAUACAGAAAUAGAAAUGCAGGACCAGUAGUAGGAUCGGGAAUACGGGAACAGGACAGGGAUUAUGGGAUUUGGAAUAUGGGAACGGCAAUGUAAGGUUGACCCAGGGCCUUUGUGGGGUCUGGUUCGGCGG